Molecule: unclassified non-coding RNA, 250 nt
Filed under: plant metagenome
Description: partial contains small subunit ribosomal RNA, internal transcribed spacer 1, and 5.8S ribosomal RNA
Source: RNAcentral
GUAGGUGAACCUGCGGAAGGAUCAUUACAGAGUUCAUGCCCUCACGGGUAGAUCUCCCACCCUUUGAGUACUAUACUUUUGUUGCUUUGGCAGGCCGCUUCGGCUACCGGCUUCGGCUGGUAAGUGCCUGCCAGAGGACCCCAGACUCUGAAUUAUAGUGUCGUCUGAGAACUAUAUAAUAGUUAAAACUUUCAACAACGGAUCUCUUGGUUCUGGCUUCGAUGAAGAACGCAGCAUCUGACUGACUGGA